GGUCCGUUGGAUUCUUACGAUCAUCCCGAUCUAGCAUUUGCCGCAAGUGUUUAAGACGUGGCCAAAAUCCAACAUUCGCCGUUUUUUACUUGGUCUCGGUCUGCAGGUUAAACGGUUUAGUCGAUGCCGGAGCCGCGGACGCAGGACGCGGUUACGAAGAACGGACCUUCGAUCCUCGAGGUCGUUAUUGUUCCCUGGAUGCGUGAACGAGGCAGGACUUUGUGUGAAAACGGGAAGUUCGAGGGCUGACUCACGGUCAGGCUAAAGCCGCUUGGAUUUUUUUUUUCACGACCUGCGAGAGAAUUUCGUCGCCUAACUGUGUUGGCAGAAAGGGAAGAAAAAAAUCUGCCGAUGACUUAGCCUAAGGGCCCAGGUAUGCGGACGGAGUCCCUUUCAAGUUAUGCGUUAGCAGAAUAUCAGCGGACGAUGGAGGAUUUCUCUAAAGAGUAACGAGGAACGAACGUCCGAUGCACCUCGAAACACUGUCCUGUCGGUAUGGUUGGUAUUACACACACAAACGGAGCCGGCACUGAAGCAUGGCGGCCAUCUUUGCUGGAUAAUUCCAUGUAGGUGAUGUAGGUACACUCAAAGAGAGCAGCGCGCGUUCCCUGUUCGUAAACUGUCGUAGACCCCGAAGAAGAAAACAGAUGCAGCGUGUAACGUGCGCCCUACGUCAUCCUGAUAAAAUUUGGUCAAUAAAUUAUCGUCGACUACAAUUAUGUACACCCUUUUUUCUUUUCGUCUUUUCACACAUUCGAGAGUAAAAAAACCGUUGCAAGAUUCGAAUACCGUAUCAGUUUUAUCAUUUUGUAUCCUAGUGUGGGGAUUAGGUUCUUGGAUCGUAGAAGAGAGCCAAUAGCUUGACUAGUCAAACCUCUAUGAGAGAGAUGGAAAUAAAUCUACGAGAAUCACGUGCAUGUACUCUGCUCUUUGAUUUUAAGUUUACAUCCGCGACGCUGUCAGAGUCGUUUGAUUGUCUGAGAAAAAAUUUCCAACGAUUCGAAUGAUUUGCAUCCCGUUAUUGGUCGGUUUCUUUUGUUUUUGAAAGCUAGUACGGACGAGCCCGUCUAAAACUUAAAAUCAUAAUCCUGCAGCUGUAACGAAGAAGCUAAUCGACGACCACUUACUACGGUCAUUCAUAUUGCGAUAUAGUAUAGUUAUCUUUAUGAUACAUUUUACGAAUGUUUAAAUGUACACGUGUAAUGUUUGUUUUUUCUUACAACCUUGACCGCAAUAAAAAUAGCUAUUAAAAAAUAUGUUGCGUUAU
This 1267-nucleotide unclassified non-coding RNA is filed under the name Neodiprion lecontei (redheaded pine sawfly). RNAcentral describes it as "uncharacterized LOC124295281, transcript variant X1". The record is from RNAcentral. Lineage: Eukaryota; Metazoa; Arthropoda; Insecta; Hymenoptera; Diprionidae.